CCUACGGGAGGCAGCAGUGGGGAAUAUUGCACAAUGGGGGAAACCCUGAUGCAGCGACGCCGCGUGAGGGAAGAAGUAUUUCGGUACGUAAAGCUCUAUCAGCAGGGAAGAAAAUGACGGUACCUGACUAAGAAGCCCCGGCUAACUACGUGCCAGCAGCCGCGGUAAUACGUAGGGGGCAAGCGUUAUCCGGAUUUACUGGGUGUAAAGGGAGCGUAGACGGCAACGCAAGUCUGGAGUGAAAUCCCAUGGCUUAACCAUGGAACUGCUUUGGAAACUGUGCAGCUAGAGUGCAGGAGAGGUAAGCGGAAUUCCUAGUGUAGCGGUGAAAUGCGUAGAUAUUAGGAGGAACACCAGUGGCGAAGGCGGCUUACUGGACUGUAACUGACGUUGAGGCUCGAAAGCGUGGGGAGCAAACAGGAUUAGAUACCCCGGUAGUC
RNAcentral lists this ribosomal RNA (440 nucleotides) under uncultured bacterium. RNAcentral's name for it is "partial 16S ribosomal RNA". It matches the Rfam family "Bacterial small subunit ribosomal RNA", at positions 338 to 795 of the family's 1533-position model. The record is from RNAcentral.